AGCAGCCGCGGUAAUUCCAGCUCCAAUAGCGUAUAUUAAAGUUGUUGCAGUUAAAAAGCUCGUAGUUGAAUUUCGGGGUUAGUAGGUUGGUCGUGCCACUGGUAUGUACUGGCUCUACUGAUCCCUCCUUCUUGUAGAACCGUAAUGCCAUUAACUUGGUGUUGCGGGGAAACAGGACUGUUACUUUGAAAAAAUUAGAGUGUUUGAAGCAGGCUAACGCUUGAAUACAUUAGCAUGGAAUAAUGAAAUAGGACGCUCGAUCCUAUUUUGUUGGUUUCUAGGAUUGACGUAAUGAUUAAUAGGGAUAGUUGGGGGCAUUAGUAUUCAAUUGUCAGAGGUGAAAUUCUUGGAUUUAUUGAAGACUAACUACUGCGAAAGCAUUUGCCAAGGAUGUUUUCAUUAAUCAAGAACGAAAGUUAGGGGAUCGAAGACGAUCAGAUACCGUCGUAGUCUUAACCAUAAACUAUGCCGACUAGGGAUCGGAUGAUGUUAAUUUUUAUGUACUUCAUUCGGCGCCUUA
This 520-nucleotide ribosomal RNA is filed under the name uncultured Glomus. RNAcentral describes it as "SSU rRNA". It matches the Rfam family "Eukaryotic small subunit ribosomal RNA", at positions 569 to 1090 of the family's 1831-position model. The record is from RNAcentral. Lineage: Eukaryota; Fungi; Glomeromycota; Glomeromycetes; Glomerales; Glomeraceae.